This 497-nucleotide ribosomal RNA is filed under the name uncultured bacterium. RNAcentral's name for it is "partial 16S ribosomal RNA". It matches the Rfam family "Bacterial small subunit ribosomal RNA", at positions 28 to 523 of the family's 1533-position model. The record is from RNAcentral.
GAUGAACGCUGGCGGCGUGCUUAACACAUGCAAGUCGAACGAAGCACUUUUCCAGCUUUCUUCGGAAUGAAGUUUUAGUGACUGAGUGGCGGACGGGUGAGUAACGCGUGGGUAACCUGCCUCACACAGGGGGAUAACAGUUGGAAACGACUGCUAAUACCGCAUAAGCGCCCAGUACCGCAUGGAACGGCCUGAUAAACUCCGGUGGUGUGAGAUGGACCGGCGUCUGAUUAGCUAGUUGGCAGGGCAACGGCCUACCAAGGCGACGCUCAGUAGCCGACCUGAGACGGUGACCGGCCACAUUGGGACUGAGACACGGCCCAAACUCCUACGGAAGGCAGCAGGGGGGAAUAUUGCACAAUGGGGGAAACCCUGAUGCAGCGACGCCGCGUGAGCGAAGAAGUAUUUCGGUAUGUAAAGCUCUAUCAGCAGGGAAGAAGAAAUGACGGUACCUGACUAAGAAGCACCGGCUAAAUACGUGCCAGCCGCCGCCGUAA